Molecule: ribosomal RNA, 253 nt
Filed under: uncultured bacterium
Lineage: Bacteria
Description: partial 16S ribosomal RNA
Rfam family: Bacterial small subunit ribosomal RNA
Source: RNAcentral
UACGUAGGUGGCAAGCGUUGUCCGGAAUUAUUGGGCGUAAAGCGCGCGCAGGUGGUUUCUUAAGUCUGAUGUGAAAGCCCACGGCUCAACCGUGGAGGGUCAUUGGAAACUGGGGGACUUGAGUGCAGGAGAGAAGAGUGGAAUUCCACGUGUAGCGGUGAAAUGCGUAGAGAUGUGGAGGAACACCAGUGGCGAAGGCGACUCUUUGGCCUGUAACUGACGCUGAGGCGCGAAAGCGUGGGGAGCAAACAGG